The sequence is a ribosomal RNA, 993 nucleotides long. It matches the Rfam family "Bacterial large subunit ribosomal RNA", at positions 453 to 1442 of the family's 2925-position model.
CCACCAUCCAAGACUGCCGACCUUCCGUCACCGAUAGCAGAGAGUACCGUGAGGGAACGGUGAAAAGCCCCCCGGAAGGGGAGUGAAAGAGACCCUGAAACCGUGUGCUGACAACCCGUCAGAGCCCCCAUUGCGGGGUGAUGGCGUGCCUAUUGAAGAAUGAACCGGCGAGUGACCGGUCCGCGCAAGGUUAACCGCCGCGAGGCGGGCAGCCGGAGCGUAAGCGAGUCCGAAGAGGGCGCGAGUGCGGAUCGAUCGACCCGAAACCGCGUGAUCUAGCCGGCGCCAGGCUGAAGUCCCCUUAAGCCGGGAUGGAGGGCCGCACCCGUGUCCGUUGAAAAGGGCUGGGAGGAGCGGCGGCUAGGGGUGAAAUGCCAAUCGAACGCGGAGAUAGCUGGUUCUCCCCGAAAUCGCUUGAGGGCGAGCCUCUCAGAUCCACCCCGACCGGGGUAGCGCUCUGUGAAUGGAAGGGGUCCCGCCGGGAUUACUGCCUGUUCGCAAACGACAAAGUCGGUCGGGGCGCUCGAGGGAGUCAGACGCCGGGGGAUAAGCUCCGGGGUCAAAAGGGCAACAGCCCAGAUCGUCCGUUAAGGUCCCUAAAUGCACGCUGAGUGGAGAAGGUCGUCGCAGGGCCCAGACAGCCAGGAGGUUGGCUUAGAAGCAGCCAUCCUUGAAAGAGUGCGUAAUAGCUCACUGGUCGCAGUCCCGCGGCGCCGACAAUGUUCGGGGCUAAGCGUGCUACCGAAACGGCGACUGGCCCGCCAAGCGGCGGGCCGGGGUAGGGGAGCGUCCGGUGGCGGGUGAAGCCGGCGUGGAAACGCCGGUGGACGCCACUGGAGUGCGAAUGCCGGUAUGAGUAGCGAAAAGGGAUGUGCGAAUCAUCCCCGCCGAAAGCCGCAGGGUUCCGGAGCCAGGAUCGUCCGCUCCGGGUUAGUCGGGCCUAAGGCGAGGCCGUUGAGGCGUAGUCGAUGGAGACACGGUCGAGAUUCCGUG